This 254-nucleotide ribosomal RNA is filed under the name uncultured bacterium. Its description in RNAcentral is "partial 16S ribosomal RNA". It matches the Rfam family "Bacterial small subunit ribosomal RNA", at positions 524 to 776 of the family's 1533-position model. The record is from RNAcentral.
UACAUAGGGUGCAAGCGUUACUCGGAUUUAUUGGGCGUAAAGAGCUCGUAGGCGGUUCAACAAGUCGGGUGUUAAACCCCCAGGCUUAACCUGGGGCCGCCACCCGAAACUGUUGUGACUUGAAUUUGGUAGGGGAUCACGGAAUUCCUGGUGUAGCGGUGGAAUGCGCAGAUAUCAGGAGGAACACCAACGGCGAAGGCAGUGAUCUGGGCCAAUAUUGACGCUGAGGAGCGAAAGCGUGGGGAGCGAACAGG